Dermacentor albipictus is the source of this 233-nucleotide non-coding RNA. NCBI's taxonomy places the organism in Eukaryota, Metazoa, Arthropoda, Arachnida, Ixodida, Ixodidae. The record is from RefSeq and is a predicted model, not a curated record.
CAAUUUUCAACUGACGCUAACACGCACAAGUUGUGGGGGAAAAGUGCGAACAAGAGUACCAUAAGGUGACGUUGGACUGCUUCGUGAAGCCACAAAGCUUUGGAGAACCAUCGUAUCAGGCAUAUGCUAAGUACCCUGGCGAUGUCCUCACGGUAUUCCGAUUGACCGCGGCUGUGGCGUCUGGCGGAGCUGCCGCGCCCUGGCACCCGGGGAGGAGGGAAGAGGUCGCUCAC